This is a long non-coding RNA of Homo sapiens (human), 341 nucleotides long. RefSeq lists it as uncharacterized. The transcript has 2 exons. The record is from RefSeq and is a predicted model, not a curated record. Lineage: Eukaryota; Metazoa; Chordata; Mammalia; Primates; Hominidae.
AGUUCCGGGCGCUUUGCCGGGCGUUAAUGGCGGCCAACAUCGCCGGUGCUGCGGCUUUCUCCCUAAAGUGUCACAGGAGCUAAGGGCGCUGCUUAACGAACUGCAGAAGACGCAGGCAGAACAUGAAGCAUACUGAAGUAGAGACGGCAGGAUUUUCUCAUGCAUGGAAUAUGGGAUGUGAAUGAAAACAGAAGGAUCACUUGAUGGCUGCGGACCUGAGCAACUGGAGGGAUGGAGUUGCAAUUAGGUGAAGUGAGGAAUUCAGCAGGGGAAGCAAGUUUUGGGGCAGAAGAUUUUAUCAGGGAUAUUUUAGUAAUUAAAUAGUUAGAUUAGUGUCUUAA